AAGUCGAGCGGUCCAUUCGGGGGCAGCGGCGGACGGGUGAGUAACGCGUGGGAACGUGCCCUUUGGUACGGAACAACUGAGGGAAACUUCAGCUAAUACCGUAUGUGCCCUUCGGGGGAAAGAUUUAUCGCCAUUGGAGCGGCCCGCGUUAGAUUAGCUAGUUGGUAGGGUAAAGGCCUACCAAGGCGACGAUCUAUAGCUGGUCUGAGAGGAUGAUCAGCCACACUGGGACUGAGACACGGCCCAGACUCCUACGGGAGGCAGCAGUAGGGAAUCUUGCGCAAUGGGCGAAAGCCUGACGCAGCCAUGCCGCGUGAAUGAUGAAGGUCUUAGGAUUGUAAAAUUCUUUCACCGGGGACGAUAAUGACGGUACCCGGAGAAGAAGCCCCGGCUAACUUCGUGCCAGCAGCCGCGGUAAUACGAAGGGGGCUAGCGUUGCUCGGAAUUACUGGGCGUAAAGGGCGCGUAGGCGGACAGUUUAGUCAGAGGUGAAAGCCCAGGGCUCAACCUUGGAAUUGCCUUUGAUACUGGCUGUCUUGAGUUCGGGAGAGGUGAGUGGAAUGCCGAGUGUAGAGGUGAAAUUCGUAGAUAUUCGGCGGAACACCAGUGGCGAAGGCGACUCACUGGCCCGAUACUGACGCUGAGGCGCGAAAGCGUGGGGAGCAACAGGAUUAGAUACCCUGGUAGUCCACGCCGUAAACGAUGAGUGCUAGUUGUCGGCAUGCAUGCAUGUCGGUGACGCAGCUAACGCAUUAAGCACUCCGCCUGGG
Molecule: ribosomal RNA, 770 nt
Filed under: Phenylobacterium sp. CLHH 2-2
Lineage: Bacteria; Pseudomonadati; Pseudomonadota; Alphaproteobacteria; Caulobacterales; Caulobacteraceae
Description: bacterial SSU rRNA
Rfam family: Bacterial small subunit ribosomal RNA
Source: RNAcentral